This is a non-coding RNA of Cicer arietinum (chickpea), 411 nucleotides long. Lineage: Eukaryota; Viridiplantae; Streptophyta; Magnoliopsida; Fabales; Fabaceae. The record is from RefSeq and is a predicted model, not a curated record.
AAUAUAAAAUAUAAGAUAAAAUCCUAUAAAAUGGGGUUUCACAAUCAAUCUUAUCUUUUGGGUGUUCAAUGCAUUGUUUUAGUCUUAGUUUCAGGACUGGUUAUGGAGUCUUCACCAUUAGUGCUUGCAAGACGAGAUUGCCUUGUGGGGAGUGGAGGAAGAUUUUGUUGCAUAGGGAACUGUAGUGAUACCUGCGCUGUAGAAUGUGUGCAUGAAGGAUAUUAUAGAGCUGGAUAUUGUCACAAAGUACUUUUUAUGCAUCUAUGUUGUUGUACAAUAUGAAUUCUUUUGUAUGCAAUCAAGGAUUCAUAAAUUUAAAAUAUUAGUCUAAUAGUGUGUUUAAUGUUUCUCACUUUUUCUUCAUAAAAAGUUGUUGAAAAAUCAAUUAUUAAUAAGACAAUUUAAAUGAAA